Molecule: small RNA, 8664 nt
Filed under: Pan troglodytes (chimpanzee)
Lineage: Eukaryota; Metazoa; Chordata; Mammalia; Primates; Hominidae
Description: processed transcript
Source: RNAcentral
AUAGUGUUUCAGAGUUAUCUGUUCUCUUCCAUUGAUCUGUUUGAUCCUUGCAUCAGUACCAUAGUAUUUUAAUUACCAUGGUAAUCGUUUUUAUUUUUCUUCUUCAAAAAAUGGCCUUGUUCAGAAACUGUAGAAAUGGUGGCACUUGUAAUAGUAAACUAUUAUUGAGUGCGAACUACGUGCCAGGCAUGAACUCACUUAAUCCUCAGAACACUAUCACUCUAUUCCUAUUUUACAGAUGAGGAAACUGAGGCAUAGAAUGGAAAGUUACUUGCCCAGGGACACACUGAUUGUGUAAGUGGUAGAGCUGGAGUGAACUAUAGAAUCAAGACUUUACUAUCCAUUUAAAAAAAUGUCUUAUAUGGAGUGAUUGGGACUAUAGUUAUUUUGACAUAAAGGGUGUCUUAAUUUUUCAGAUAAUCUUAAUUCUCCACAGCCCAAAACAUGUUUCUCUUUCUCCAUUUAUUUCUUUAAAAUUUUUAUUGGUGAAGUUAUUCAUAGGGCUCUCCUAUUUUCUGGUGCUACUGGAAUUAGGAUUGUUUUUUCUGUUUUCUAAUGAUCAAGGCUGAUAAGAUAAUGCUGGCCUUUUUCAUAAUGGCCUUUUUGAUAGCUACCCUGAAUGCUUUAUUAAAAUUUGAUGCAAUGUAAGAUGUAACAUUUUAUUGAUUUUCAACAUAUCUCCUACUCACACAAAAUGGAGACAAUAGAUUAUAAUGUUUUAAAGAACAAAGGACAUCUACUCAAAGCCCUGUUUUCCAGGUGAACAGUGUCAUUUUUUACAAAGAUCUGUGAAAGGAAGAGUAAGCUAAAAUCAGAACACCCAGGGAAAACCAACAUAGUUUGAACCUUGUAUUUUCCUGUUUUGAUUAAAGUAAGUCUUUAAAGUAUAUUUGUUUUUGAGAGCAGGAUCUACUUUUGGUUCUGAAAUAGGCUCUGCUUUGGAAAAUCUUAGAAACUUCCUUUGAAGGUGAGAGGACUCCUGUCUAGGGAAAAGUCUUUUGUUUUUGUUUUUUUAGACUCAACCUGGAAGUGUUCCUUAGGUCACUCUCAGGCCACUUGGCUUUAGAAAGAAUGUAGAAAAACCAAGUUCUAGUCAGGAUCCAUUCUUGAAAGAUUGACAAGCUCCUCAGCAUUGCUAGAAUUUCCGUCAUUGCUGUUAGCAAAUGUGGCAUUUGAUUCUUUGUUCUCUCUCAGCUUCUGUUUCUCUACCUCAUGUAUUACAAGUACGUAAUGCAGGAUCAGCCAGGGAAAUUAAAAGCUAUCUGGCGCAAACAGAAAAUCAGUUUUUAAACUGUCAGUAAGGACAUUCCUGCAGUGAAUCAGCAUAAGAAAAUGAGGUGAAAAUUCAGCAUGAGGUUGACUCUGCAGUUCAUUUUGCAAGAUUUGUCAUGGCAAAUCUUCAUAAUUUCUAUUGAGCAGAGACUGAGACUUUAUUAUUUCUGAUUGUUGGUGAGAUUCUGUGGAUUUAGAUGCUAAGCAGGCUUUUGCCCUGGGUUAUGACACCUUCAUGUCUUUCUUCUUGCAGUCCACUCUCAAGAAACACAGAAAAGUUGCAUGCUCCUUAAGUCACAUGUCCCUUAAGCUGGACUGGGGUUGAGUUUGUAUAAACUGUUGCCGUUUUUCUUUUUCCCUCUCACUUUGUCCCAUUUCCAGCAUUUCCUUCUGUCUCGCCUCCCGUGUGUAUCAGUCUAAAACCACACUCCAUUAGGAGGAAGUUCAUACGGGGUGAGUUGGUUGUUUUCUUGAAUCUGGUACUGAGAAAGUACAUACGUGUGUGUUUUCUUUUUUUGACAAUUUUUUUAACUUCAUUUGGAUAAAAUUUUACUCUUAGAGAAAGUUAUAAGCGUAAGAAUAGUGCAAGAACACCUGUAUACUCUCAUUAUCCAGAGUCACCUAUGUUUAUCAUUUGCCUUGUUUGCUUAUUCUCUGUGUGUGUGUGUGUGUGUUUGUGUGUGUGUAUAAAUAUAUAAGCUGGAAGGGGGUGACUAUUUGAGAAUACGUUGCAAUCAUCAAGGUACUUUACUCCUAAAUGUUCAGUAUAUUUUUCCUAAAAAUAAGGAUAUGCUUUUACAUAAUCAAUACAGUUAUCAACCUCUGUAAAUCUUACAUUGAAAAAAUACUUUAAUCUAUCGUUAGUGUUCUAGUUUCAUCAGUUGACAAUAUUCUUUGUAACAUUUCUUUUCCUCCAGAUGUUACACUUAGUUGUCACAUCUCCAUAGCGUCCGUUAAUUUGGAACAUUUCCACAGUCAUUCUUUGUCUUCCAGGACAUUGACAUUUGUAAAGAAUAUAGUUCCAAUUUAAAAGAACAUUCCUCUUUUGGAGUUUUUCUGAUGUUUCCUCAUGACCAAAUUCAGCUGGAAUACUCCAUAAGUCAUAAGUGAUGAUGCAUCCUUCUCGAGUAUCUCUUCUGGAGGUGUGUGAUGUUUAGUGAUAUUAAUUUUGAUUAUCUGAUCAAGGAAUUGUCCUAUUUCUCCACUGUAUAGUUACUAUUUUUUUCUUUGACACUAAUGAGCAGUGAGUGGGGAGAUAGUGUGAGUCCAUGCGCAUCCUCCUCAUCAGAUUUCCCCUAGCCAAUUCUAAUUUUAUCUAAACUUUAUUAGAUCAUCUUAAGAUAAAAAUAAUUUUCUCUUGAGGCCUUAAUUGGCAAGCAGAUUUAACUACUCCCUUUUGAAAUUGUUUCUCUAGCAAGGUGAGCAGUAAUUAACAAACAUAAAAUUACUAUACAUUGAAGCUGAACUAAAAAAAAUGCCAUAAUGGUUAAGCUUUUUUCCACUCUAAGCUGUACUUCUCUCUAUUUGUAUCCGGUUACCUCCCCAUUAGAAAAGCCAUCACCAUUUUAUUAUAGGAAAAACAAUCAGUUCUUUCUCCUCAGGCAGUUUCUAAUGAAAAUGGUGUCAGGUAUCAGAGAUACUAAACAUUUACCAAAAGCUUAAAUAUUGAUGAAAAUUUUUACUAAGCAAGUGAAAUUUUUUUUAAUUUGGUUUUUGUAAACACUGGCAGGAAGGUGGACAUAUCAGGAUACCUGGUCAUAACUCUUCCACCGUCUGCUCGGGGUGUGCUCCUGGUAGAGGAGAGAAGUCCUUUUACUUUAUCAUAUCUGCCUACUGCAGUGGGCCAUUCACUAUCCAUACUUGAUGAAAUGAUUUUGGUGAUAUUAUUCUCAGACCCAAAAUAUGAGUUAUUUUCGAGUAAUUUAGAGCAAUAUGAUUACUCCAAAUAAAUUGAGGUUUUGUGCCUAUGCCUCCGUAGAUCCCUAAACACCAGAGUGCUGUUCGUUCUUAUUGGAGAGGAAAGCAGUUUCUUCAUGGUUAGGUCAGUUUCCUAGAUGCUAUUCUUUAUUUCAGAAUCAAAGUGUGGAGGCGUAUUGCACACAGGGUGUGGAAGAGAGCUUUGAAGUCAGGUGAUCUCUGGUUUGACUCCAGCACUGUCACUGUGCUCUCAGUGAGUUUUGAGUAAAUCCCUUAAUGCCUAAUUUCCUUUCCUCAUCUGUGAAACAGAUGCUGUUACCUGCUAUGUGAAGUUGCUGGGAGGACCGAAUGUAAUGCUUGUAAAGUGCCUUGGCCCCUGGCUCCUAGGAGGUGCUCAGCAGAGCAAUAGCAGUGAUUAUUUUCUUGAGAAGUUAAUUGAGGUGGUGGAUGGCAGUACCUUGAGAGGAGCCUCCCAUCACAAUUUGGUUUGUGUUUGCCAGGGAGCUGGGGUCCGGAGUGGGAUAGUAAUCUGUCAUGGAGUCCCAGGAGCCCAAAUGUGCCGGCCAGUCCCAAGUGCUCAGAGCAUGAGGAGGACAAGGAGUACUGGGCUCUCCGUCUCACUGGACUGACUGUCAGCCAGGAGGUGUUGUUUCAGUCCCAAGAUAGCUUGGAAAACCCCAUGGCUACCAUUCAAGCGCUCUUCAGUCAGGUGACCAUGUGGGUGAGCCCCUGUGAGUCCCGAGAGGCCAUUUAGGACAUCCAGGAAGAGCCUCAGAGCUAGUCUGUCUGUGUGCCGGGGUGAGGAUCUCUGGCAUGUCCGGGGGAGCAGCUUCUGCCCAGAGUAUUCUUGACUGGGGAAGGGCCGGGUUACCAGGCGCCGUCGGGCAGUCUAGACACCUUGUCCUGGCUAUGCCCUGGAGACUCACAGUCCAUAUGCCACCAGACAGCAAAGGGAUUAUGAGACUUGAAGGCUUGGAAUAAACACACAUAAAAUAUGACCGGAGCCCUGCAUUUUUAGCUAAUAACUUCAGUGGGUGAGGAAUUGUGGGCUGGCUCAGAGAUGGCUGCUGUUACCACCAUUUGCCUUUCUGCUUCCCUAGAACUUGCUGUUGUUUGGGGAAGGGCUGCAGUUUUGCUGCCUAACUUCUGAUAGACACUCCUUAUUCACUUUCAUGACUUUCAAUACUUGCUGUCUCAGAUGGGUAAGCUCAGGAGCUAGUCUGUGUGUCUGAUAUUAAAAUAAAACAAUCCAAACAGUCCUCCUAAAAUUAACAUUAAUACCACUAGAAAUAUUUAUUAUGCAAAUAAUUCAGAAGAAGGCAAAGACCACUUGGAUUAGCUUGCUCUCAGUUUGAUAUUUUGGUUAAAUGAAAUUAUUUUAUAUUUAUAUGUUCUUUGUAUUUUUAAAAGUACAUAUAAAAAUAAAGGACCCAAAAAAAUCACACUAUUUUCAGGUCUCUGAUAUAACUGGUACGAAGAUAUUUGUUGUUCUAAUCUUUCUGGAAAGCAAACUAGGUGAGUGUAACCAAAGUUAUAAAAUUAUUCGUAGCUUCUCUUAUCCCUGGCUGGUCAAUUUUAGGACUCUAUCUAAGGAAAUAUCUUCUCUCCCGGAACAGGGAAACUAAAAGUGCGCUUCAUGGCUGAACAUUUAUAAUCAGCUGAAGUGGAAGCCUGUGAGGGGUGUGGCCAGGAAGGCUAGUGUGUUACAUAGGACUGAGGUGGCACUAGGAAGCAAUGCUGCCUGGGUUGUCCUCUGAGGAGAGGCUGUGAGGGGAGGAAAGGGUGCUCCCCAGUUGGUGUGUACACCCCAGAUGGUGUGUACAUCGUGAUUCUGACCACGUGGCUGAGAGCCACCUACAGUUUUUACACACUCCUUACUCCAGCAGCUGUAGGUGGAGUUUCUCUGGGAGCUCAUUAGGACUCUCCCCACACCGGGCGUGGGGGAGGGGUUCCUGACCGUCUUCAAACCUGGGCCCCUAUUGUUCUGUGUCUCUAUCAAUUUAGAGCAGUGUAAAGGGGGUGAAUGUUUGUUUACUUACUUAUUUCUUUGUUUCCCUCUAAAGUUGCUUGAAUUUAUAUAGAAAUAAAACCAUGUUACACGUUAUAGUGGUUCUUUUUUUAAGACCUUGAGUGUAUGAUCUUGUACUAUUUAGAAAAGCAAGCUGAGUGUCUACAUGCUUCAGAGUGGCUCAGCAGCUGACAUCUUUCUCUCAACUGAAUAUGAAUAACUUGCAUUUUUAAUUAAAAAUCACAGAUUUAUUUUUGAGAUUCCUGAAGUUCUUGGAUUAUAAAAUUCCCCAAUUCUGGACAGAUUGAGGAUUUUAUGUAAGCUAAGGUUUUAAAAUGAGGAUUUCCAGUUGGUAGAAAGUAAUGUAUACAUGUGUGUCCAAAUUCUUUUGUGCUGAAACUUAAAUAAAUGUCGAUGAGCUUUCACUGGUGAAUGUUCUAGAGGAUUGCAGGAAGGCUGGUUGUUGAAGAGCCACACACUUUCUACCUGUACAUGUGUAUUUACACAUGGCCACGUGCAUUUUACUACCCUCAUGUAUAUAGUCAAAUAAAUACAUGUGCAUGUGUACACACAUUCUUUCAUACCACUUCUUGUCUGAUUUGGCACCUUCCAAAACUGUCAUUUUGAGGUGCCAGAAUAAGUUUUAUUUUGGCUUUUAGAUGACAGCCUCCAGAGGAAUGGCAUCCACAAUUACUCUUCGUCUCUGGGGGCAGCAAAAUGUCCACAGCACUUGGGAACAGUCGGGUCAGUUGGAGUGGCAUGUCCCCAGGAAGACAGAAACCUUCUUGUACAGUUGUCUGUUUUUAUUAUCAUAGACAGGUGGUUGAUAGCUGUUUUAUUUCUCCCAAAUAUGGCUUUCGUUUUGGAGGAAAAACUUGGAAUAAGUAGUGACUUACUUCAUAGAUGCUCUGCCCUUCUCCCCGACCCCACCAGUGGAGGGUGACAUUGCUCCUUGAGCUCCCCACUUCUCAGCUCUGGGACAUCGGUGAGUUCCCCAGGAAGGAUGCGGAUGAGGACAACCAUGUACCUGCCGUAAGUGGGGAGACCAGGCGUGUGUACAGAUAAACUUAAUAGAGAGGCAAAAAUGAAGCGUGUCAGAAACACGGAAGUGUGGAGAUUGUUCAGACCUCUCUUGGGUGAUUACAGUGGACUCCUUAUUGAUCUUUUAGCUAAUAAAAUGAAUGGAAAAAUAUUUCAUAAGUGUACAAUAUGCAGUAGGAAAAUAGAGUACUGUUUACUUAAAAGUCUGCAAAACACUGCUGUACUGCUUCCGUGCAAUCACAACUGGGGUUUAGACACCCACUAUCUUAUCUUGUCUAUUCCAAAAUCUAACAUUUGUUUCUGACUCCACAGCCAGCAGUCUUUCUAGCACAACUUGUGAUCCUCCCUGGAUUAGACUCUUUCGGCUGUGGGAGAAGAUUCCCACCUCUGUGUGUGCCUUCGAAGGCCUUUAGGAUCUGGGCCCGCAGCCCCGUCUGUCACUGGCUGUCCCUGGUUGCCACUGAUCCCUACCACCAGCCACACUGUACCAUACGCUGCUUUGGCUUUUGGAAUUUGAACAAAAUCUAGCUUAACUCAGACAUGCCCUCUAGGACUAUAUUGCUGUCAUCAUUUAAGGAAUCAGAACUGUAGUGAAGAAUACUUUGUAAAUCAGCUUUACAUACAGUUUUCAAAAUAAUCAUGUAUACAAACAUAUAUAAGGUGUAUUUGUCAUUCAUCAUUCAUUGAAGUGUUUAUUACAUGUUCUGUUGUGUCCCUCCCAGGGAAGAAUCAACCAAAGUCCUGUCAGCCUUCCCCAGGAAGGCUUUCUAUAGAGGACAUGUGUGUUAUAUGUUGCUAUGGAACAAGUUAUCUCAAAAUUUAGCAGCUUAAAACAACAAACACAUUAUUGUACACAGUAUCUGAGGAUCAGGAAUCCAGGUACAGCUUAGCUGGGGUUCUGAGGUUGCAGUCAAGCUGUUGGCUGGGGCUGUGGUCAUCUGAGGCUUGCCUGGGAGGGCCCUGCCUCUAAGCUUGCUCAUGUGGUUGCUGGCAGGUUCAUUUCCUCUUGGCUGUUGGCAUGAGGCCUCAGUGCCUCACCACGUGGACCUCACCGUCAGCUGCCUGAGUAUCCUCACAGCAUAGCACUUCUCUUCCCCCAGAGUGAGUGAUUCGAGAGAGGGGAUCCAAGACAGAGAUCAAGCUUUAUAUUUAUGUACAACCAGAAAAUAAGUGGCACCCAAAUACCUCAGGCUUAAAAAAAGUGAGACAGCAAGCGUGGGAGCCUUUGUUGAUAAUAAUGGCCUCUUUUUUCCAUUUUGAGCCAUAUGAGAUUCCCUACGUGCUGGGGGGGAGAUACCUGCUCUAGGCAGAUGUUUGUGUAUUUCAUGAUCUGGUCCAUAAGCGUUGUUGGAAAAAAGUGAAAAUUAAAAGGAAACAAGUCUUGGCUAAAGGGGGAAAAAAAAGUAAGUACAAUUGCAUCCUUUAGAUCUCAGAUUCUCUUUCUCAUGACUUUAUUCCAAUUUAUGUCCGUUACUUCCUUGAACAUCCCACUGGUGACAGGCAUAGCUGCCAGCUUCCAAGAGUCCUAAUGAUUCCCAGCAUCUGGGACUCACCCUUGUGCAGUCCCCUCCCACACAGUACCAGCGGUGGUCUGUGGGAUGCUGUCACUUUUUGAAAUCCAAUAAAAAGGUUUCUGUCUUUUUUACCUCAUUGGUGAGUGAUUGGGGAGUGGGACCCAUGGGCCCUUUGAUUAAUGUGACUCUGAUGUCCCAGUGAAAGUCUUUGUCAUUCUCAGGCCGACUGCAGCAGUGGCCCAGGGCAAAGAGUGUGCGUCAUCGAUGAGAUUGGGAAGAUGGAGCUCUUCAGUCAGCUUUUCAUUCAAGCUGUUCGUCAGACGCUGUCUACCCCAGGGACUAUAAUCCUUGGCACAAUCCCAGUUCCUAAAGGAAAGCCACUGGCUCUUGUAGAAGAAAUCAGAAACAGAAAGGAUGUGAAGGUGUUUAAUGUCACCAAGGAAAACAGAAACCACCUUCUGCCAGAUAUCGUGACGUGCGUGCAGAGCAGCAGGAAGUGAAGACACAUGCAUUCCGUGAAGGAGUGCCCAGUUCAAGAGGAGCCUGAUGGAGCCCUGCCUGUCGAGGCUGUAUGCCUAUGGGGUUAUGGAACCUUGUGGGCUUUUCUAGAGAAAACUCAACAGCUGUUUCCCAUAAAAUGUUUAAAAGAUCAAAUUAGCCUUAAUGCUGGAUUGUCUGUACAAGAUUAACUAUCCAUUGUGGCUUAUCUAUGCUUAAAGAUUUCUUGUUUAUUUCCUCUUGCAGUCAUGCACAUGAUUUGGGUAAACUGUGAGAUGAGAAAUGGUUUUCAGAGUAUUAGAUGGAAUUCACCCCCGUUGAAGUUUAUAAAUGUGUUCAGGGGAAGGGGGAGGAAAGAGUUCACUGCCUAAUCAGUUUUGCAUGUCAUGAAAAUUAAAUUCCUCUCCAGGUGCA